Molecule: long non-coding RNA, 1244 nt
Organism: Leptopilina boulardi
Lineage: Eukaryota; Metazoa; Arthropoda; Insecta; Hymenoptera; Figitidae
Exons: 4
Source: RefSeq, a predicted model, not a curated record
UUCAGAUGCUGUUUGCCGGAAUUUUAAUUUAGCAGGAUUGGCAUUUAAUAAAAUUAUGUUCUGAAUGAGCUUUAAUUUGGCUGAAUUUUAAUUUUUGUCAAUUUUUAAAUGGCUGGAGUUUCAACAAGAUGAAGAAAACUAUUUUCAUUUUAUACAAGCCGACUUUUUAUUAACACCGCUGAAGAUCCUUCGAUCCUCAACUAUCGUUACAGGAAAUAAACGACUAAAGUGAAUACUGAACGAAAUGGAAGUGUAUCAUUCUGCUAAAAAAAGGAAGUGCUUACCAUAUGGAAGUUGUAAAAAAGGUGGCGCGAUCUUUCUCUGACAAGUAUUCAACUACUAAAACAGCACAAUCAAAGUUCAUGGAAGUACGCAUCAGCAGAUUUGAAAUAGCGCUCCGGAUUUUAUUUGCUAAUCUGCUGGCUUCCUCGAAGUGGCUGUUCAGAAAACAUCCAAACAUUUGAAGAUUUGAAAGUUUCAAGCGAAGAGAAUGUUGAAAACCUUCAUUUUGCAAAAUUUGUGCAACCUUUCGAAAGUUCAAUUGUAACAGUGAAUAUAUGGUUUUCUUCAUCUUCAUCAUUUGUUCACAUAAAAUCGCAAGGUCCCCAUUGUGCGUUAAUUCAGAAAAUCCACGGGUAAAAAUGCCGGAUUCUACAGCAGUUUUUAUGUAAUCGCUCGUUUUGUUGCAUCUCACCAUUGUUUGCAAGAGCGUAAAUCAAUUCACGCAAAUGCCAAGAUCUCGGGAAAUCGUUUGAAGCAAUGUUUGAACGUACGAAAUUGGAUAGUUGAAUUUUAUGACAUAAUAAAUAGCUGAAGUUAUUAUGUUAUAAUCAUCUUCGAUGUUGUGAAUGUUUUCCAUUAUAUAACCAUUUAUUAAUUCAGGAUCAUUGGAUUUUGCUAAUUUUAACACCUCUUGAACAUGGUUAUCCUCAAGGUCAUCGGGGCAAUUUAUGCUCAUCUUUAAAAUUCUACAAAGUACAAAGAGAAGAGCAAAUAUUUUCAGCAUCUCAACAUAAAACUGGAUUUCGAAAUUUAAAAAAAUGAAAAAAUAGUUUUUACUAGAUAAUGUUUUUUUCUUUCUGAUUUUUGGAAAAUGGUCAAAAUUUUUUUUAACUGAUUCUUUUUAUGACCAUUAAAUUUCUCAAAAAAAUAGUAUAAAAAUGAUUUUAUCCACAUUUGAAAUUAAUUCCUUAAUAUAACGGAAAAUGUUCUCAGACUCUCCUUAAUUUCUAUUUCUUGAAAAU